AAUAGCGUAUAUUAAAGUUGUUGCAGUUAAAAAGCUCGUAGUUGAAUUUCGGAAUCUGUCCGUCGGUCGGGCUUCACUGUCCGUACUGGUGUGAUGGGUUUCUACCUUCUGAAUAAUCGGCAUGUCAUUAAUUUGGUGCGCCGGGGAAGCAGAACUAUUACCUUGAAAAAAUUAGAGUGUUUAAAGCAGGC
Molecule: ribosomal RNA, 191 nt
Filed under: uncultured Acaulospora
Lineage: Eukaryota; Fungi; Glomeromycota; Glomeromycetes; Diversisporales; Acaulosporaceae
Description: partial 18S ribosomal RNA
Rfam family: Eukaryotic small subunit ribosomal RNA
Source: RNAcentral